UAGCUCAGUUGGUAAAGAAUCUGCCUACAAUGCAGAAGACCUGGGUUCAAUUCCUGG
RNAcentral lists this transfer RNA (57 nucleotides) under Bos taurus (domestic cattle). It matches the Rfam family "tRNA", at positions 8 to 63 of the family's 71-position model. From Rfam's summary of the family: Transfer RNA (tRNA) molecules are approximately 80 nucleotides in length. RNAcentral also lists the same sequence under 5 other names. The record is from Rfam by way of RNAcentral. Lineage: Eukaryota; Metazoa; Chordata; Mammalia; Artiodactyla; Bovidae.